Molecule: RNA transcript, 3690 nt
Organism: Rhipicephalus sanguineus (brown dog tick)
Lineage: Eukaryota; Metazoa; Arthropoda; Arachnida; Ixodida; Ixodidae
Gene name: zwei Ig domain protein zig-8
Exons: 6
Source: RefSeq, a predicted model, not a curated record
UUUCAUGUUGUUAUUAUCAGAAGCCGGAAGGGCUAAGCGCCGCCGCCGGAACCGGAAACAUAGAGCGCGCGAGACAGAAACAAAGUGGCAAGAGAAAAAAAAACUAGGCACGGGAGAAGAGGCAGCACGGAGAGGAGGCGGAGCCACGUCACGUGACCGGCUCGCUCUCUCGCGGCGCCUGGCGCAGGCCCUCAGUCCGGACCCCGGGUUAGAGCGAACGCGGCUGUGCUCAGCGCCGAGAGCGCCCCAGAUUCCGUCGCCGAGCUACCGCCGGGAACGAAAGAAAAAGAAAGAAAGUUCGUACCCGCGCUUCGCGCAAUUUAACGGUGAACGUGCAGCAAAUAAUAGGAGUGGGGCUCAUACCCAACAGAAGAGUGCGCCGUUAUUAGAGGAGGAGCUACAUCGCUUUACAUUAUCUGUUUUUUUUUUCUUGGUCAAGUCUAGCGACCCCGCCGUCUAUGUCAUGCCUCGGGUAGAGGAGUAGAUAUCCCGGGGCUGACGUCAGCGGAUUACACGCAAGACUGUGACGAAUGGAUUAACUGUGUCUCAUCGCCUCCUCCUGCGGGAUCGACUAUCCCCCACGAGAAAAAAGGUCCGCGAGUGUGCAAGAAAACUGCGCCGGAUUAUGUGACGUGCUUUGGGUCGCGCAUCAUCUGUGACUGGUUCUGCAGUCGACGACCGAGAUAGUCCCAUGGGGGGGCUGUAGACAGUCGGGGGUGCCGCUACUGCGACUGCACCUGCUGCCACGAUGUCUCCACUGACGUUGUUCGCGAACGCUGCCGCGGGCGGGACAAGAUCUGCCCACGGCAUCGCUCAGACAGUGGGCCUCUGGGCCACUCUCAGUUCCCUCGCUGUGCUGACAUUUAUGGUGCUUACACUAGCAGCCAUCGACGAAGACGGUCCUGCGCAGAGCCGUAGGUCGCAUCCUGACGCCUCCGCACCAUCUCCCGAAAACCCUGGGAGCGUGGUUUCGAGGGCGGCGUCGCGCCGCGUCCGUUCGGCCGAGGCGUCGCUCGUGUCAGCGCCGGAGAUCUUGAACCCCAAGCUCUUCCCGGACAUCGAGCAGCCGGCGUUCGACAACAGCACGCCGCGAAACGUCACCACGCAACAGAUGCAGACCGUGUACCUACACUGCAUAGUCAACAACCUCGGUGAACGGACGGUGUCGUGGAUCCGGCGCCGUGAUUUCCACGUCCUCACGGUGGGCCUGACGACGUACACGGCUGACGAUCGGUUUCAAGCUGUGCACAUGGACCGCUCCGAAGACUGGAUGCUGCAGAUCAAGCGUGUCCAGCCCACCGACGCUGGAGACUACGAGUGCCAGAUCAACAUGCACCCGCUCAUCUCCUACUUUGUACGACUGACCGUCUUGGUUCCACGCGCACGGAUCCUGGAAGCACCGGAGCUGUUCAUCAACAGUGGCUCGUCGAUCAACGUGAGCUGCGCGAUCGAGCACAGUCCCGAGCCACCAGUGUUUGUGUUCUGGUACCACAACGACCGCGUUAUCAACUACGACGAGACGAAGGGUGGCCCGGGACACAUCUCGGGGGCCAAGCGCCCUCCCGACGCGUACGUCAGCAGCCUCUUCAUACGAAACGCCCGGCCGCAAGACUCCGGCAACUACACCUGCGGCCCGUCGAACGCCGAUUCCACGAGCGUCGUGGUGCACGUACUCAACGGCGAGAAGAGAGCCGCCAUGCAGCACGACUUCUCGCCAUCGCGGGCCCUGCUUCCAGUCUCGGUGGAGUUGAGGCUGGUGUUCUGUUCCCUGUUCACGACGCUAGGCGUCGCCUUCAGGCUCACCUCUUCUUGACCGUCCUGCGUGACCAAACUCGCCACGUCUCUUCAAAGCUUCAUCACUGUCCGUCCAAACUCACAGGCCCCCAAGAGAGGUCUGGCCAUCUCAGCAAAAGCUCAUAUGGGUUGCCGGGUGCCGUUCAAGCGCAUCCAAUCAUUUCCACCCCAGCGUUCUUGCAGUGUCCGUGUUUGUGCGUGAUGUGAUGGAGCGACUGAGCACGCGUGGUUCGUCCAGCCCUGCGAGCAGCGCGCGGAACUGCACUGCGUCAGCGCGGCACUCGCACGCUGCAGUGCCGCACCGGAGAGUCGCCAAACAAUGCUCGUUUGGCUGGGACGACUUCGCGAGGCCACGUACGAAAGUGUGUGUGCGCUAAGUGGACCCGCUGGAAGCCGCGUCCUCUAGCGAAACACUUCGGCUGUGAACCAUACAUAACCUGUGCGUCACACGUUUCACUGGCGACAACGUACAUUCCAGGACGCUCGAACUGUGCGAAGCGAUUCUCUAGCCGUUUGUGGUUUGUGCGCCGAGGGUUCUUUCUAGUCAUUAGUGAGAAGUCAAAGCAAAAAGAGCGGGACUGCGUUGUGCACUAAUGGCCCGGUGUUAGAUACUUGUCAUAAACGUGUUACCUUCUUGUCUUGUUCAUUUCUUCUUCUGUCGGAGAAACGGGGGAAAAAGAGACAGUCAUUUCGAUACGUCGACUUGAUCCAUCAGCGUCAGGCCUUGCAAGCGGUAUUCCAGCGGAACCGACAAAGCUACAAAUACGUUUUUUUGCCGCAGAAUAACAUAUGCUUGACCGUGUCUUAGUGAUGCUAUUUGUUUUUGUUGUCCCGACAUAAGAAACAGUGGCAUAGAUCGGAAUUACAGUGGUGUUUUUGGGCUGACUCUGCGUUGUUCACUUUAUGGGCGCUGAUUCAUACUGGCUUGUUUGCUCUAAACAAUACUACGACAUUUUAUUUGCACAAUUAUACUGAUCUUCCUGCCUGCGUUCUGAACUGGCUUCUUUUAUAACCGGACGUGCCACUUCCGCGAAUGCAUUUACGAAGAAAAAGAAUCCUUUAUUACGUGUCUUUUAGUUGAUCGUCUAAGAUAAAGGAAUUCCAGCUGUUAUAGUUUUUAUUGCCACACAUAGACUUCCACUGAAUUUUAGAAUAGGCUUGCCCCGAAUCAAGACGUUCAGCUCCGUGCUAUGGAAUUUGAGGUUCGUCUGUGGUUUUGAUUGGCUUUAUCUACAUGCCCAUUAUAAGCUUUCGUCUUGACUAGUGCGUUUUGAGAACCAACUUGCGUGAUGGCCUGCUGAAGGAAUUUGCAUUUGACAUACGAUUGGUAUGGACGACUGGGCUUACCGGUGAUGAAUAAUAACUUCUCGGCUCAGAUUACUUCCCAGCUUCAUUAGUAAUAUCAUUUCCUCUAAUCAGAACCUGCUCACAGUAUUAGGAUCUUACGGACCACCUAAAGAAAACAUCACCAAAAACCAACGCCAGAGAGGCGAAACUGUCAAAGAGAGGACACUCACCUCACGUUUUUCUUGCACCCACAACUUUCGUUGUGUUUUAUUUGUUGCUCUAGAAGACACAGGAACGGGCGCACGCAUGGCGAACUCGCGCAUAGCAGAUUGGCAGCUUUCCUUUCUGUAAAGUCGAAUGAGAUGAGGUUGUUCUUGUCAGAAUAUAUCUAAGUAAAGGACUUGUUCUUCAUCGUUUGCCUCGUGUAUAUACUACAAGUACGAGCACGUUCUGGAACUGUUGGAGAACGUCGGUUAAAAGUCAUGUUUAACACUUGAUGUAAAAAAAAUUAGUUAUGUAGAUGUUGAUUGUACAUACAUGAUCACACAUUUUUGUCAAAGGAAUAACUGUUGAGACUUUGUAAAUAAAGAAAGAUAUGUUGACAAACAA